UACGGUGGGGGCAAGCGUUGUUCGGAAUUACUGGGCGUAAAGGGCUCGUAGGUGGCCAACUAAGUCAUACGUGAAAUCCCUCGGCUUAACCGGGGAACUGCGUCUGAUACUGGAUGGCUUGAGUUUGGGAGAGGGAUGCGGAAUUCCAGGUGUAGCGGUGAAAUGCGUAGAUAUCUGGAGGAACACCGGUGGCGAAGGCGGCAUCCUGGACCAACACUGACACUGAGGAGCGAAAGCCAGGGGAGCAAACGGG
This 253-nucleotide ribosomal RNA is filed under the name uncultured bacterium. RNAcentral's name for it is "partial 16S ribosomal RNA". It matches the Rfam family "Bacterial small subunit ribosomal RNA", at positions 524 to 776 of the family's 1533-position model. The record is from RNAcentral.